UACAGAGGUGGCAAGCGUUGUUCGGAAUUACUGGGCGUAAAGGGCGCGUAGGCGGCCAUCUAAGUCAGACGUGAAAUCCCCCGGCUUAACCUGGGAACUGCGUCUGAUACUGGACGGCUCGAAUUUGGGAGAGGGAUGUGGAAUUCCAGGUGUAGCGGUGAAAUGCGUAGAUAUCUGGAGGAACACCGGUGGCGAAGGCGGCAUCCUGGACCAACAUUGACGCUGAGGCGCGAAAGCUAGGGGAGCAAACGGG
RNAcentral lists this ribosomal RNA (253 nucleotides) under uncultured bacterium. RNAcentral describes it as "partial 16S ribosomal RNA". It matches the Rfam family "Bacterial small subunit ribosomal RNA", at positions 524 to 776 of the family's 1533-position model. The record is from RNAcentral.